UUCCGGUUGAUCCUGCCGAAGGCUACUGCUAUUGGAGUUCGAUUAAGCCAUGCGAGUCUAAGGGAUCUUCGGAUCCCUGGCGUAAUGCUCAGUAACACGUGGAUAAUCUACCCUCAGGUGGGGCAUAAACCCGGGAAACUGGGGCCAAUUCCCCAUAAAUACAGAUGGCUGGAAUGCUUCUGUAUUCAAAGCUCCGGCGCCUGAGGAUGAGUCUGCGGCCUAUCAGGUUGUAGUCAGGGUCAAGACCUGACUAGCCAGCGACGGGUAUGGGGUGUGAGAGCACUUGCCCAGAGAUGGUUUCUGAGACACGAAACCAGGCCCUACGGGGCGCAGCAGGCGCGAAAACUUCGCAAUGCGGGAAACCGUGACGAGGGAACUCCGAGUGUCUAUGCAUUGCAUAGACUGUUUUUUAGCCUAAAUAGCUAUUAGAGUAAGGGGUGGGCAAGACCGGUGCCAGCCGCCGCGGUAACACCGGCACCCCGAGUGGUAGCCACUAUUAUUGGGCCUAAAGCGUUCGUAGCCGGUUUGGUAAAUUCUUGGGUAAAUCGUACCGCUCAACGGUGCGGAUUCCGGGGACACUACCAGACUUGAGACCGGGGGAGAUCAGAGGUACUUGCGGGGGAGCGGUGAAAUGUUGUAAUCCCGCAGGGACCACCAGUGGCGAAGGCGUCUGAUCAGAACGGCUCUGACGGUGAGGAACGAAACCCUGGGGCGCAAACGGGAUUAGAUACCCCGGUAGUCCAGGGCGUAAACGCUGCUGACUUGG
RNAcentral lists this ribosomal RNA (766 nucleotides) under uncultured marine group III euryarchaeote. RNAcentral describes it as "bacterial SSU rRNA". It matches the Rfam family "Archaeal small subunit ribosomal RNA", at positions 1 to 771 of the family's 1478-position model. Lineage: Archaea; Methanobacteriati; Thermoplasmatota; Thermoplasmata; Candidatus Thermoprofundales. The record is from RNAcentral.